GUCGAGCCGGUGCUGCCGCGGCCACCGCCACCGCCCAGGGGCUCCGGGGCUGUGGGGAGCGGCUGAACUCAAUACCGCCUCCGCGCUGACUGGAAGGCACUGCGGCCGCGCCUGCCUGCCCCACCUCGUAAGGGCCUGUGACCUCACGAGGCCAGCCGCCGGGCGCUGCAUUCGAGCGGUGGGGCUCCUGUCCGUGCGCUUUCCUCCCGCAGCCCCGGCCGGGAUUCCGCCCUCCGUCCUUGCCACCCGCUCGCCACUCUUCCCUAAUCGCUGUUCAUUCUCCGGUGCGCUGUCCCGCCAUGGUCUGACCCCACUUCAAUCUUACCUUCGGUCCGUCCUUUGAACACCCCGACCCCCGACCCCUUUCUUCCAAAACAUUCCAUCCUUCUUGGCUUCUGCUACUCAAUAAUGGACAGCAGCUCGAAGGCCAUGUGUCCCACGGCUUUGCUGAAAUUUGUCUCGGGUUGCCUUUAAGGAGACUGUCGUUUCCUUUUGAAAGAGAUACUUUGAACUUCAGAUUGAAAAGCAUGUACUUGAGUAGCUGUAUUUAAGGAAUUACACCCAAGAAGUCUCAUCUUCCCUGGACUUACGUAGAGGAUAAGAUUCUGAACUUUGAAUUGAUGCUAUAAUGGGAUAAGACUUUGGGGCCUUAGAAGGGGAGAACAAAGGCCAUGAAGGUGUUAAAGGGAAGCAAGCGAUCGACAGCAUUGGUUGGUGACAAACCUGUG
Molecule: long non-coding RNA, 728 nt
Filed under: Homo sapiens (human)
Lineage: Eukaryota; Metazoa; Chordata; Mammalia; Primates; Hominidae
Description: non-protein coding lnc-CDC27-2:16
Source: RNAcentral